This 900-nucleotide ribosomal RNA is filed under the name uncultured marine group I thaumarchaeote. RNAcentral's name for it is "SSU rRNA". It matches the Rfam family "Archaeal small subunit ribosomal RNA", at positions 12 to 920 of the family's 1478-position model. Lineage: Archaea; Thermoproteati; Nitrososphaerota. The record is from RNAcentral.
UCCUGCCGGACCUGACUGCUAUCGGAUUGAUACUAAGCCAUGCGAGUCUUUGCAGUAAUGCAAGGCAUACGGCUCAGUAACACGUAGUCAACCUACCCUAUGGACGAGAAUAAUCUCGGGAAACUGAGCAUAAUUCUUGAUAGAUCAUAAUGCCUGGAAUGGUUUAUGGUUAAAAUGAUUCGUCGCCAUAGGAUGGGACUGCGGCCUAUCAGCUUGUUGGUGAGGUAAUGGCCCACCAAGGCGAUUACAGGUACGGGCUCUGAGAGGAGAAGCCCGGGGAUGGGUACUGAGACACGGACCCAGGCCCUAUGGGGCGCAGCAGGCGAGAAAACUUUGCAAUGUGCGAAAGCACGACAAGGUUAAUCCGAGUGAUUUCUGCUAAAGAAAUCUUUUACCAGUCGUAAAACCGCUGGUGAAUAAGGGGUGGGCAAGUUCUGGUGUCAGCCGCCGCGGUAAAACCAGCACCUCAAGUGGUCAGGAUGAUUAUUGGGCCUAAAGCAUCCGUAGCCGGCUUUGUAAGUUUUCGGUUAAAUCCAUGUGCUCAACGCAUGGGCUGCCGAAAAUACUGCAUAGCUAGGGAGUGGGAGAGGUAGACGGUACUCAGUAGGUAGGGGUAAAAUCCUUUGAUCUAUUGAUGACCACCUGUGGCGAAGGCGGUCUACCAGAACACGUUCGACGGUGAGGGAUGAAAGCUGGGGGAGCAAACCGGAUUAGAUACCCGGGUAGUCCCAGCCGUAAACUAUGCAAACUCAGUGAUGCAUUGGCUUGUGGCCAAUGCAGUGUUGCAGGGAAGCCGUUAAGUUUGCCGCCUGGGAAGUACGUACGCAAGUAUGAAACUUAAAGGAAUUGGCGGGGGAGCACCACAAGGGUGAAGCCUGCGGUUCAUUGGAGUCACCGCCG